GACAGAGGGUGCAAACGUUGUUCGGAUUCAUUGGGCGUAAAGGGUGCGUAGGUGGCUUUUUAAGUCAGGGGUGAAAGACGGUAGCUUAACUAUCGCAGUGCCUUUGAUACUGAAGAGCUUGAAUGAACUAGAGGUAGGCGGAAUGUGACAAGUAGCGGUGAAAUGCAUAGAUAUGUCACAGAACACCAAUUGCGAAGGCAGCUUACUAUGGUUUUAUUGACACUGAGGUACGAAAGCGUGGGGAUCAAACAGG
Molecule: ribosomal RNA, 253 nt
Filed under: uncultured prokaryote
Description: partial 16S ribosomal RNA
Rfam family: Bacterial small subunit ribosomal RNA
Source: RNAcentral